Molecule: non-coding RNA, 20 nt
Filed under: Rattus norvegicus (Norway rat)
Lineage: Eukaryota; Metazoa; Chordata; Mammalia; Rodentia; Muridae
Source: RNAcentral
CUAGAAAAGGACAGAUAAAG